RNAcentral lists this ribosomal RNA (741 nucleotides) under uncultured bacterium. RNAcentral's name for it is "bacterial SSU rRNA". It matches the Rfam family "Bacterial small subunit ribosomal RNA", at positions 56 to 774 of the family's 1533-position model. The record is from RNAcentral.
UGCNGUCGAACGGUAACAGGCCGCUGUGAUCCCUUCGGGGUGAACUUGGCGCUGACGAGUGGCGGACGGGUGAGUAACGCGUAGGAAUCUGCCCAGUAGUGGGGGACAACUUGGGGAAACUCAAGCUAAUACCGCAUACGCCCUACGGGGGAAAGCGGGGGAUCUUCGGACCUCGCGCUAUUGGAUGAGCCUGCGUCGGAUUAGCUAGUUGGUGGGGUAAUGGCCUACCAAGGCGACGAUCCGUAGCUGGUCUGAGAGGAUGAUCAGCCACACUGGGACUGAGACACGGCCCAGACUCCUACGGGAGGCAGCAGUGGGGAAUAUUGGACAAUGGGGGCAACCCUGAUCCAGCAAUGCCGCGUGUGUGAAGAAGGCCUGCGGGUUGUAAAGCACUUUCAAUUGGGAAGAAAAGCAGACGGUUAAUAUCUGUCUGUCUUGACGUUACCUUUAGAAGAAGCACCGGCUAACUCCGUGCCAGCAGUCGCGGUAAUACGGAGGGUGCGAGCGUUAAUCGGAAUUACUGGGCGUAAAGCGCGCGUAGGCGGCUGUGUAAGUCGGAUGUGAAAGCCCCGGGCUUAACCUGGGAACUGCGUUCGAUACUGCACAACUAGAGUAUGGGAGAGGGAAGUGGAAUUUCCGGUGUAGCGGUGAACUGCGNAGAUAUCGGAANGAACACCAGUGGCGAANGCGACUUCCUGGCCCNAUACUGACGCUGANGUGCGAAAGCGUGGGGAGCAAACA